GCAGCAGUGGGGAAUAUUGCGCAAUGGGCGAAAGCCUGACGCAGCGACGCCGCGUGAGGGAUGAAGGCCUUCGGGUUGUAAGCCUCUUUCAGCAGGGAAGAAGCGAAAGUGACGGUACCUGCAGAAGAAGCACCGGCUAACUACGUGCCAGCAGCCGCGGUAAUACGUAGGGUGCAAGCGUUGUCCGGAAUUAUUGGGCGUAAAGAGCUCGUAGGCGGUCUGUCGCGUCUGGCGUGAAAAUCCAGGGCUUAACCCUGGACCUGCGUCGGGUACGGGCAGACUAGAGUGCGGUAGGGGAGAUCGGAAUUCCUGGUGUAGCGGUGAAAUGCGCAGAUAUCAGGAGGAACACCGGUGGCGAAGGCGGAUCUCUGGGCCGUAACUGACGCUGAGGAGCGAAAGCAUGGGGAGCGAACAGGAUUAGAUACCCUGGUAGUCCAUGCCGUAAACGUUGGGCGCUAGGUGUGGGGCUCAUUCCACGAGUUCCGUGCCGCAGCAAACGCAUUAAGCGCCCCGCCUGGGGAGUACGGCCGCAAGGCUAAAACUCAAAGGAAUUGACGGGGGCCCGCACAAGCGGCGGAGCAUGCGGAUUAAUUCGAUGCAACGCGAAGAACCUUACCAAGGCUUGACAUACAGAGUAAACCGGCAGAAACGUCGGGUCCGCAAGGGAUUCUGUACAGGUGGUGCAUGGUUGUCGCCAGCUCGUGUCGUGAGAUGUUGGGUUAAGUCCCGCAACGAGCGCAACCCUCGUUCUAUGUUGCCAGCACGUAAUGGUGGGGACUCAUAGGAGACUGCCGGGGUCAACUCGGAGGAAGGUGGGGAUGACGUCAAAUCAUCAUGCCCCUUAUGUCUUGGGCUUCACGCAUGCUACAAUGGCCAGUACAAAGGGCUGCGAGACCGCAAGGUGGAGCGAAUCCCAAAAAACUGGUCUCAGUUCGGAUUGGGGUCUGCAACUCGACCCCAUGAAGUCGGAGUCGCUAGUAAUCGCAGAACAGCAGGCUGCGGUGAAUACGUUCCCGGGCCUUGUACACACCGC
This 1033-nucleotide ribosomal RNA is filed under the name uncultured bacterium. RNAcentral's name for it is "bacterial SSU rRNA". It matches the Rfam family "Bacterial small subunit ribosomal RNA", at positions 348 to 1393 of the family's 1533-position model. The record is from RNAcentral.